Molecule: ribosomal RNA, 614 nt
Filed under: bacterium D9
Lineage: Bacteria
Description: partial 16S ribosomal RNA gene
Rfam family: Bacterial small subunit ribosomal RNA
Source: RNAcentral
GCUUGCUUUUUUUUGAGAGCGGCGGACGGGUGAGUAAUGCCUAGGAAUCUGCCUGGUAGUGGGGGAUAACGUCCGGAAACGGACGCUAAUACCGCAUACGUCCUACGGGAGAAAGCAGGGGACCUUCGGGCCUUGCGCUAUCAGAUGAGCCUAGGUCGGAUUAGCUAGUUGGUGAGGUAAUGGCUCACCAAGGCGACUAUCCGUAACUGGUCUGAGAGGAUGAUCAGUCACACUGGAACUGAGACACGGUCCAGACUCCUACGGGAGGCAGCAGUGGGGAAUAUUGNNNNUGNGCNAAAGCCUGAUCCAGCCAUGCCGCGUGUGUGAAGAAGGUCUUCGGAUUGUAAAGCACUUUAAGUUGGGAGGAAGGGUACUUACCUAAUACGUGAGUAUUUUGACGUUACCGACAGAAUAAGCACCGGCUAACUCUGUGCCAGCAGCCGCNGGUAAUACAGAGGGUGCAAGCGUUAAUCNGAAUUACUGGGCNUAAAGCGCGCGUAGGNUGGGUUCGUUAAGUUGGAUGUGAAAUCCCCGGGCCUNACCUGGGAACUGCAUCCAAAACUGGCAAGCUAAAGUNUGNUAGAGGUGGNGNAUUNCCNGGGUGNNGGGAAAAA